UGACCCUGUAGGCCAGCCAACAGGUAAAAAAACGGGGCGGGUCCGAAAAGCCUUACGAGUAGGUAAACC
Regulatory RNA element from Hymenobacter sp. CRA2, 69 nucleotides. It matches the Rfam family "DUF805 RNA". The record is from Rfam. NCBI's taxonomy places the organism in Bacteria, Pseudomonadati, Bacteroidota, Cytophagia, Cytophagales, Hymenobacteraceae.